Magallana angulata is the source of this 409-nucleotide long non-coding RNA. RefSeq lists it as uncharacterized. NCBI's taxonomy places the organism in Eukaryota, Metazoa, Mollusca, Bivalvia, Ostreida, Ostreidae. The transcript is spliced from 3 exons. The record is from RefSeq and is a predicted model, not a curated record.
AGUACGACUUGUCCUUUACCGAUUACACCGCUGGGGUUCUCGACGGAGAAAAACUAAGCUUUCGUGAAACAAAAUGCAAGGAACUAAUGAACCUCCGACUAUUUCGGGCAGAUUGUUGUACAAGAAUCAAUGGACAAAACUUCUGUAUAGAUGGAAGGGAAGUGUCACCACGUUCGGGAUCACCGGAGCUCUGGGUGUGGUGUGGCUGUUUGACGUCCAGUUGUCCGAUUAUCUUAAAUAUGUUCCAAUCUUCAAAAAACGAUUCGGGGAUCAACAUUAACGAAAGCCCUGCAAUAAUGCUGUCCUGUGUUAGUACAUAAUCAACUUAUACAAAGACCAGUGUCAUACAAAGAAGAAUAGAGUGAUGUUAUGAAAUGUGAAAUGUUGUAAAUAAAAACUGUUUGCUGGU